CCUACGGGAGGCAGCAGUGGGGAAUAUUGGACAAUGGGCGAAAGCCUGAUCCAGCCAUGCCGCGUGUGUGAAGAAGGCCUUCGGGUUGUAAAGCACUUUCAGUGGGGAAGAAAGCCUUGGGGCUAAUACCCUCGAGGAAGGACAUCACCCACAGAAGAAGCACCGGCUAACUCCGUGCCAGCAGCCGCGGUAAUACGGAGGGUGCGAGCGUUAAUCGGAAUUACUGGGCGUAAAGCGCGCGUAGGCGGUCUGAUAAGCCGGUUGUGAAAGCCCCGGGCUCAACCUGGGAACGGCAUCCGGAACUGUCAGGCUAGAGUGCAGGAGAGGAAGGUAGAAUUCCCGGUGUAGCGGUGAAAUGCGUAGAGAUCGGGAGGAAUACCAGUGGCGAAGGCGGCCUUCUGGACAGACACUGACGCUGAGGUGCGAAAGCGUGGGUAGCAAACAGGAUUAGAUACCCUGGUAGUC
RNAcentral lists this ribosomal RNA (465 nucleotides) under Vreelandella stevensii. Its description in RNAcentral is "partial 16S ribosomal RNA". It matches the Rfam family "Bacterial small subunit ribosomal RNA", at positions 338 to 795 of the family's 1533-position model. Lineage: Bacteria; Pseudomonadati; Pseudomonadota; Gammaproteobacteria; Oceanospirillales; Halomonadaceae. The record is from RNAcentral.